Molecule: ribosomal RNA, 253 nt
Filed under: uncultured bacterium
Lineage: Bacteria
Description: partial 16S ribosomal RNA
Rfam family: Bacterial small subunit ribosomal RNA
Source: RNAcentral
UACGUAGGUGACCAGCGUUGUCCGGAUUUACUGGGCGUAAAGAGUGUGUAGGCGGUGCUCCCAGUCUGUUGUGAAAUCUCCCGGCUUAACUGGGAGGGUGCAGCGGAAACUAGAGUGCUAGAGGGUGGGAGAGGUAAGCGGAAUUCCUGGUGUAGCGGUGAAAUGCGUAGAUAUCAGGAGGAACACCUGUGGUGUAGACAGCUUACUGGACCACUUCUGACGCUGAGACACGAAAGCGUGGGUAGCAAACAGG